RNAcentral lists this ribosomal RNA (429 nucleotides) under uncultured bacterium. RNAcentral describes it as "bacterial SSU rRNA". It matches the Rfam family "Bacterial small subunit ribosomal RNA", at positions 353 to 798 of the family's 1533-position model. The record is from RNAcentral.
AUUGGGGAAUCUUCCGCAAUGGGCGAAAGCCUGACGGAGCAGUGCCGCGUGGUGGAUGAAGGCCCUCGGGUUGUAAACACCUGUCAGUAGGGAGGAAAUUUUGACCGAUCUACAGAGGAAGUCCGGGCUAAGUACGUGCCAGCAGCCGCGGUAAUACGUACCGGACGAACGUUAUUCGGAAUUACUGGGCUUAAAGAGUACGUAGGCUGUUUUGUAGGUGAGGUGUGAAAUCCCACGGCUCAACCGUGGAACUGCGCUUCAAACCACAAAACUCGAGGGAGACAGGGGUGAGCGGAACUGAUGGUGGAGCGGUGAAAUGCGUUGAUAUCAUCAGGAACACCGGUGGCGAAGGCGGCUCACUGGGUCUUUUCUGACGCUGAGGUACGAAAGCUAGGGUAGCGAAAGGGAUUAGAUACCCCUGUAGUCAAU